ACUGACUCCUAAAGGGUUAGGGACUGACUCCUAAAGGGUUAGGGACUGACUCCUAAAGGGUUAGGGACUGACUCCUAAAGGGUUAGGUUUAGGGACUGACUCCUAAAGGGUUAGGGACUGACUCCUAAAGGGGUUAGGUUUAGGGAUUGACUCCUAAAGGGUUAGGGACUGACUCCUAAAUGGGUUAGGUUUAGGGACUGACUCCUAAAGGGUUAGGGACUGACUCCUAAAUGGGUUAGGUUUAGGGACUGACUCCUAAAGGGUUAGGGUUAGGGACUGACUCCUAAAGGGUUAGGGACUGUUUCUUAAAGGGUUAGGUUUAGGGACUGACUCUUAAAGGGUUAGGGUUAGGGACUGACUCUUAAAUGGGUUAGGGUUAGGGACUGACUCCUAAAGGGUUAGGGACUGUUUCUUAAAGGGUUAGGUUUAGGGACUGAUUCCUAAAAGAGAAUUGUAGGCUACCAACGGAAAUUGUAUAUUUUCAUUUUCAUAAUUGUUGAUCAUUUUCUUAUGUAUUAUUUUUUAUUUUUUUUUACAAAUUAUAUUUCAAUAAAUAAUAUUGUCUGUUCA
Oncorhynchus masou masou (cherry salmon) is the source of this 570-nucleotide long non-coding RNA. RefSeq lists it as uncharacterized. The transcript has 2 exons. The record is from RefSeq and is a predicted model, not a curated record. Lineage: Eukaryota; Metazoa; Chordata; Actinopteri; Salmoniformes; Salmonidae.